This 581-nucleotide long non-coding RNA is filed under the name Mytilus galloprovincialis (Mediterranean mussel). Lineage: Eukaryota; Metazoa; Mollusca; Bivalvia; Mytilida; Mytilidae. The record is from RNAcentral.
CCGUCAGGUGUUGCUGAUUUUCUGUCCCAUUAAAUCAUUAUCUCCUUUUAUUUAUUAUUUCAAGUAAAAUUAGUUUUGCCAACUCGUCCUCCUUUUCACCAAAUGUUCCCUUCUGAAUUAGACUCGUCGCAGGGUGUGUACUUACAUGAGUAACACGACGGAUGCCUUAUGAAGAGGAGGAUCUGAAGUCAACAUGUUUUUUCCUUUUUUUUCUUUUCUUCUUUUUUUUAGAAGGGAGAUCAAGGGUCGGGGGUCGGCGGCGGUGUUCGUGUUGCUCAGUCUUUAAUUUUGUAUGUUGUUGUUUGUGUUUUGGUCUAUUUUAAAAUGUGCCCUGGCGUUGUAGAUUUGAUUUUGAGCAAUACAGAGGUUGUCUUUUAUCUUAAAAUGACAAGAUUGUAAUCAUGAGAAGAGAUAGACAAAUUAUGUUCAAAUUGAGACCAAUAUACAAAGAAGAUGAUUUGGUAUGAUUGACAAUGAGAUAACUAUCCACCAGAAACAUUAUAACGUAGAAGUUAGCAUCGUUAGGUCAGCAUAUGACCCUUAACAAUGACCAAAACCGACAUCGAGUAGCAAGACAUAAA